Molecule: ribosomal RNA, 151 nt
Filed under: uncultured archaeon
Lineage: Archaea
Description: partial 16S ribosomal RNA
Rfam family: Archaeal small subunit ribosomal RNA
Source: RNAcentral
CCUACGGGGCGCAGCAGGCGCGAAAACUUCACAAUGUGCGAAAGCACGAUGAGGGGAUCCCAAGUGCUGGCUGCUAAGCCUCAGCUGUUUCUGAGUGUAAAAAGCUCCGAGAAUAAGGGCUGGGCAAGACCGGUGCCAGCAGCCGCGGUAA